This is a long non-coding RNA of Myotis myotis, 835 nucleotides long. RefSeq lists it as uncharacterized. The record is from RefSeq and is a predicted model, not a curated record. The transcript is spliced from 3 exons. NCBI's taxonomy places the organism in Eukaryota, Metazoa, Chordata, Mammalia, Chiroptera, Vespertilionidae.
AACUCAGACAGCCUAAUGCCUGAUUCAGGGCUGCUUCCUCUGUUCCCAUUGGGCUCACCAUAGAAGGGCUGCUCUGAAGAGGGUGCUGUCCUCGGUGUGCAGUGAAAGCAAUGGGGAAGCAGUGACCUGACGGAUGAGAAGAAGGACUUGCCGGUCCCCAGGAGAGGAGGAUCCAGGCUGUGAGCACUGCAGAUCCUUCCUGUGCCCACGAGAUGCCGGUGCUGCCAAGUCACAGCCAAUUCCUAGCACCUGUGUGUCCAUCAUCAGAGGACCGCCUACCUCUUUCUCCUGAAAUCUUAAACAAAGAUGAUGCCGAGGCCUGAAAAAAUGUUGUCUUGCUCAGUUGUCUGAAAGGCGCCAGAGCUACUGACACGUGUGGUCUGGCCCUCUGGACUCAGCUGCUUCCCAGUGCUGGCAGGAAUUCCUCCCCUGUCUCAGCUCCCAUCACCGGCUCAUCACAGAGAUGGCCAGAUACUCGUCUCUUUUUAUCAUGACCAAGAAUGCUUUGGAUUCUUCAUGAAACUGACAAACUGUAAAUUUAAAAAAUUACACCAACUUAGGCUAAAGUAGGGAAAAGAAAAAGGUUGCUUCCCACACAGAAUGCCUGUCUUUUGUCCCCACUACUUGUUCCACACCCAGCCAUGUCAAACAUUUGCAGUAGUUUAUGUGGCCAUUGUGUUUCUAAUCUAUGGUGUACUAAGAUUUCAACUUCUCAUAAAACUCCUUUUUUUUAUUAAGUGUGAAAAUCAAUCUCUGACAGAGAAUUUGUAAUAAAAUUCACUUUAUGUUCACCUCAAAUGUGCAGCAUUUGUGACAAUAAAAAAAUCUAAUAUUU